AUACAACAACUUAUUAGAAACGCAAGACAGCCAAUACGAAAUGCUCGAAAAACGGUCGUGCUUAAAGCAUGCCCUCAGCGUCGAGGAACAUGUGCUAGGGUGUAUGUGCGACUCGAUCAAAUGCCACUUUGUAACUGGGUGAUCAUAAAGGUGCUCUACAGGUAUCUCCAAAGGUACUUCUUGGGUUGCAUGGAUUGA
This 198-nucleotide ribosomal RNA is filed under the name Triticum aestivum (bread wheat). Its description in RNAcentral is "partial small subunit ribosomal RNA". The record is from RNAcentral. Lineage: Eukaryota; Viridiplantae; Streptophyta; Magnoliopsida; Poales; Poaceae.